Molecule: microRNA precursor, 155 nt
Filed under: Oryza brachyantha (malo sina)
Lineage: Eukaryota; Viridiplantae; Streptophyta; Magnoliopsida; Poales; Poaceae
Description: MIR812 microRNA precursor family
Rfam family: MIR812 microRNA precursor family
Source: Rfam by way of RNAcentral
UAUAAUGUUUGACUCUUUGUCUUAUUUGAAUUUUUUAAUGAUUAAUAUUUUUAUUGUUAUUAGAUGGUAAAACAUAAAUAAUACUUUAUGCAUUAAUAAUUUUUAAAGUUUUUUUGGAAAAUUUUAAAUAAGACGGAUGGUCAAACGUUGGAUAC